ACAGUGGCGAGAGGAUUCAGUCUGGCGUCUCGUGCGUGCUUGACCGGAAGACAAUCAUGGCUUCCCGGGAUCGGGUGCCGUCCGGUCGCACGGUCGCGUCCCGUCAGACGCAUUUGACUCUCGCCCGAAGGACGCUGCAGCCGGUGGGGCAGUUGCAAACGUGACGGCCUGAAGGUCGGGAGAUGGCAGUUGACCGGUGGCACGCAUCAGUGUGCCUGCCGGUUGUUAGCCGUCCCGUCAGUGGCCCGUCGCCCCACCGUGGUGUCACUAGGCCCUAACGGGCCUUCUUCGUCUCCUUAAAGUUAAGCGAGUAGAUCGCCGCUGGAGCGGGCAGCCGACAUGUCGCACUCAUUGCGUGUGGACGGUCGAGCGAGUCUACCCCGCAGGCGGACGGCAGGGCUCGCCGGAGGCUGGAGGUUCGCAGCGAGUAGGUCGGUCACCCACCCGACCCGUCUUGAAACACGGACCAAGGAGUCUAACAUGUGCGCGAGUCAAUGGGUCUUGAACAGGCCCAGAGGCGCAAUGAAAGCAAAGGCUGGGCGUCGUGCCGGCCGAGUUGGGAUCCCCGCUCUCGGGCGGGGCGCACCAACGACCCGUCCCGUCCGGCUCGCCGGUGGGGCGGAGUGUGAGCGUACACGUUGGGACCCGAAAGAUGGUGAACUAUGCCCGGACAGGACGAAGCCAGAGGAAACUCUGAUGGAGGUCCGC
RNAcentral lists this ribosomal RNA (708 nucleotides) under Portia heteroidea. RNAcentral describes it as "eukaryotic LSU rRNA". The stretch from base 466 to 708 matches the Rfam family "Eukaryotic large subunit ribosomal RNA", at positions 665 to 878 of the family's 3401-position model. The record is from RNAcentral. Lineage: Eukaryota; Metazoa; Arthropoda; Arachnida; Araneae; Salticidae.